GGCAAUUGUUCCAGCUCUCACUCAGCUAGAGCUGCCACGCAUUCUACAUGGCAAGGCUGCGUCCUGAAUCAGAAGUCGGGCUGGGAGCUGCCGUGCUGCCGCUCCCUUUCUGCACCCCAUUAUACACGUCGGCUGCGUGAGGGACACCUGGAACUUAUCACAGACUGCAAUUAGACGUCUGCGAACCAACUGCGCUGCAUCAGCCCCACUUCCAAAACUUCUCACCAGUGCUGCCGGCUUCACGCAAGGUCACACUGCCACCUCUGGAUCGCAAAACUCAGCUCUUCAAUGUGUUGCUGGUGGGACUUGAGUUGACUGCAAUGACUCCUCUUUGCCUCCUCAAGCUCUUGGUACUGACAGAAAGACAAAAGAGAGCUGGCAAUCAAUACUGGUAGCAUAGGCAGCAGAGGAGCCUUGCCUCUGUUUCCAAAGUAAAGUAGACUAACUUUAGAAAAGUC
RNAcentral lists this long non-coding RNA (458 nucleotides) under Anas platyrhynchos (mallard). Its description in RNAcentral is "lncRNA (ENSAPLG00020002750.1)". Lineage: Eukaryota; Metazoa; Chordata; Aves; Anseriformes; Anatidae. The record is from RNAcentral.